RNAcentral lists this ribosomal RNA (497 nucleotides) under uncultured bacterium. Its description in RNAcentral is "partial 16S ribosomal RNA". It matches the Rfam family "Bacterial small subunit ribosomal RNA", at positions 28 to 507 of the family's 1533-position model. The record is from RNAcentral.
GAUGAACGCUGGCGGCGUGCCUAAUACAUGCCAGUCGAGCGAACAGACGAGGAGCUUGCUCCUCUGACGUUAGCGGCGGACGGGUGAGUAACACGUGGAUAACCUACCUAUAAGACUGGGAUAACUUCGGGAAACCGGAGCUAAUACCGGAUAAUAUAUUGAACCACAUGGUUCAAUAGUGAAAGACGGUUUUGCUGUCACUUAUAGAUGGAUCCGCGCCGCAUUAGCUAGUUGGUAAGGUAACGGCUUACCAAGGCAACGAUGCGUAGCCGACCUGAGAGGGUGAUCGGCCACACUGGAACUGAGACACGGUCCAGACUCCUACGGGAGGCAGCAGUAGGGAAUCUUCCGCAAUGGGCGAAAGCUUGACGGAGCAACGCCGCGUGAGUGAUGAAGGUCUUCGGAUCGUAAAACUCUGUUAUUAGGGAAGAACAAAUGUGUAAGUAACUAUGCACGUCUUGACGGUACCUAAUCAGAAAGCCACGGCUAACUACGUG